This 39-nucleotide transfer RNA is filed under the name Drosophila maculifrons. Its description in RNAcentral is "partial tRNA-Leu". Lineage: Eukaryota; Metazoa; Arthropoda; Insecta; Diptera; Drosophilidae. The record is from RNAcentral.
GCUCCAUAUAUAAAGUAUUUUACUUUUAUUAGAAAUAAA